Molecule: small RNA, 1133 nt
Filed under: Pan troglodytes (chimpanzee)
Lineage: Eukaryota; Metazoa; Chordata; Mammalia; Primates; Hominidae
Description: processed transcript
Source: RNAcentral
CCCAAACCCAGCCACUCACACAUGGCGGGCUCAGCAGCCACCGGCCCCGCCCCUCCUCGUCGCCGCAGUCGCAACUGCGUCUGCGGCCACAGGGCGGACAGCCACGCCUCUGCGGAGCGCGACCGGAAGUGCUCACGUCUUCACCUUCCCCGCCACGCCUCCGUCCUUUCAGGCCCAGCGUGCAGCAGGAAGGAGGACUCUUUUGCCGCGGACUCAAGCCGGAAGCCGCCUUCCUAGUGGAGACGCGAGUGGGGGAGGAGCAGUCCGACGGGAACGUGGGUUGAACGUUGCAACUAGGGUGGAGAUCAAGCUGGAACAGGAGUUCCGAUCGACCCGGUACCAAGAAGGGGAGUGCCCGCGGCAGAAUUAUGAUUCAGCUAAAGUUCCAUCAGAUGAGUAUUGCCCUGCUUGUAGAGAGAAGGGAAAGUUAAAAGCCUUAAAGACUUACCGAAUUAGUUUUCAAGAAUCUAUCUUUUUGUGUGAGGAUCUGCAGUGCAUCUAUCCUUUGGGCUCUAAAUCACUUAAUAACGUAAUUUCUCCUGAUUUGGAAGAAUGUCACACUCCACAUAAGCCUCAGAAAAGGAAGAGCUUGGAAAGCAGCUAUAAAGAUUCACUUCUUUUAGCAAAUUCCAAAAAGACUAGAAAUUAUAUUGCUAUUGACGGUGAAAAAGUUUUGAACAGCAAACAUAAUGGAGAAGUAUAUGACGAAACCUCGUCAAACUUACCUGAUAGUAGUGGUCAACAGAAUCCAAUUAGGACAGCUGAUUCCUUGGAGCGGAAUGAGAUUUUGGAAGCUGAUACUGUUGACAUGGCUACUACAAAAGAUCCUGCUACAGUUGAUGUCUCUGGAACUGGCAGACCUUCCCCUCAAAAUGAAGGAUGUACAUCUAAACUGGAAAUGCCACUGGAGAGCAAAUGUACAUCAUUUCCCCAGACUUUAUGUGUCCAGUGGAAAAAUGCUUAUGCUCUCUGUUGGUUAGACUGUAUCCUGUCAGCUUUGGUGCACUCGGAAGAGUUAAAGAACACCGUGACUGGACUGUGCUUGAAGGAGGAAUCUAUAUUCUGGCGGUUGCUUACAAAAUAUAAUCAAGCCAAUACACUUCUAUAUACCAAUCAAUUGAGUGGUGUUAAAG